GACGAACGCUGGCGGCGUGCUUAACACAUGCAAGUCGAACGGAAAGGCCCUGCUUUUGUGGGGUGCUCGAGUGGCGAACGGGUGAGUAACACGUGAGUAACCUGCCCUUGACUUUGGGAUAACUUCAGGAAACUGGGGCUAAUACCGGAUAGGAGCUCCUGCUGCAUGGUGGGGGUUGGAAAGUUUCGGCGGUUGGGGAUGGACUCGCGGCUUAUCAGCUUGUUGGUGGGGUAGUGGCUUACCAAGGCUUUGACGGGUAGCCGGCCUGAGAGGGUGACCGGCCGCAUUGGGACUGAGAUACGGCGCAGACUGCUACGGGAGGCAGCAGUGGGGAAUAUUGCACCAUGGGCGGAAGCCUGAUGCAGCAACGCCGCGUGCGGGAUGACGGCCUUCGGGUUGUGAACCGCUUUCGGCUGUGACGAAGCGUGAGUGACGGUAAUGGGUAAAGAAGCACCGGCUAACUACGUG
Molecule: ribosomal RNA, 468 nt
Filed under: uncultured bacterium
Lineage: Bacteria
Description: partial 16S ribosomal RNA
Rfam family: Bacterial small subunit ribosomal RNA
Source: RNAcentral